GAUGAACGCUGGCGGCGUGCCUAAUACAUGCAAGUCGAGCGAACAGACGAGGAGCUUGCUCCUCUGACGUUAGCGGCGGACGGGUGAGUAACACGUGGAUAACCUACCUAUAAGACUGGGAUAACUUCGGGAAACCGGAGCUAAUACCGGAUAAUAUAUUGAACCGCAUGGUUCAAUAGUGAAAGACGGUUUUGCUAUCACUUAUAGAUGGAUCCGCGCCGCAUUAGCUAGUUGGUAAGGUAACGGCUUACCAAGGCAACGAUGCGUAGCCGACCUGAGAGGGUGAUCGGCCACACUGGAACUGAGACACGGUCCAGACUCCUACGGGAGGCAGCAGUAGGGAAUCUUCCGCAAAGGGCGAAAGCCUGACGGAGCAACGCCGCGUGAGUGAUGAAGGUCUUCGGAUCGUAAAACUCUGUUAUUAGGGAAGAACAAAUGUGUAAGUAACUAUGCACGUCUUGACGGUACCUAAUCAGAAAGCCACGGCUAACUACGUG
RNAcentral lists this ribosomal RNA (497 nucleotides) under uncultured bacterium. RNAcentral describes it as "partial 16S ribosomal RNA". It matches the Rfam family "Bacterial small subunit ribosomal RNA", at positions 28 to 507 of the family's 1533-position model. The record is from RNAcentral.